Molecule: ribosomal RNA, 386 nt
Filed under: uncultured bacterium
Lineage: Bacteria
Description: bacterial SSU rRNA
Rfam family: Bacterial small subunit ribosomal RNA
Source: RNAcentral
AUUGAACGCUGGCGGCAUGCUUUACACAUGCAAGUCGAACGGUAACAGGUUAAGCUGACGAGUGGCGAACGGGUGAGUAAUGCAUCGGAACGUGCCCGGUCGUGGGGGAUAACGUAGCGAAAGUUGCGCUAAUACCGCAUAUUCUGUGAGCAGGAAAGCAGGGGACCGCAAGGCCUUGCGCUCUUUGAGCGGCCGAUGUCAGAUUAGCUAGUUGGUGAGGUAACGGCUUACCAAGGCGACGAUCUGUAGCGGGUCUGAGAGGAUGAUCCGCCACACUGGAACUGAGACACGGUCCAGACUCCUACGGGAGGCAGCAGUGGGGAAUUUUGGGACAAUGGGGGCAACCCUGAUCCAGCCAUGCCGCGUGAGUGAAGAAGGCCUCGGUU